This 91-nucleotide ribosomal RNA is filed under the name Paenibacillus woosongensis. RNAcentral's name for it is "partial 23S ribosomal RNA". The record is from RNAcentral. Lineage: Bacteria; Bacillati; Bacillota; Bacilli; Caryophanales; Paenibacillaceae.
UUAUGGUUAAGCUACUAAGAGCACACGGAGGAUGCCUAGGCGCUAGGAGCCGAAGAAGGACGUGGCGAACAACGAAACUGCCUCGGGGAGC